CAGCCCUCCUCCCACACAGCUCCCAGGCUGAAGGUGCCUUGUGACCCAGGCCUGUGCUCCCCAUGCAUUCAGUGGCCGGUUCAGGGACCUGUGUGCCCAAACCCAGCUAAUCCCAGCCAGGAAACCUCAGUUCUGGGACUUCUGGUCAAGCUUUUGGGGCAGUGGACUCCCUUUUCUCCCAGGACGUGGGUCUGAAAGUUUAUAGCACUGAGGGGGACACCCAGUCUGAGAAGGUGGCGGAUGCAGCACAAGGUAUUGCUGAGCAAUAGAGAGAAACAGCGUUCUCAUGACAGCGUUUGAGUUCUGGAUCAAGCCGUACUUGAACCUUCCUGGAUUUAUCAGUCACUUGAAUCGAUAAGUCCCCCUUUUGUCUUAAUCUAGCCUGAGUCAGGCUUUCUGUCACUCACAGUCAAAAAAGGCCUGACUGAUAAACCCAUUCUCUGGCAUCAAGGCCUCUGUGAACCCAAUUAAUAAAGUGGUGGCUGCCUGGAUUAGCACAAAUUCAGAGCAAAAGGAAGGAGAAAAUGUUUCCAGACAUUCUACUCAGGCUUUGGGGCAUCCCUAGCCUACUUGAGGUAUUGCAGGAAAAAAAAAUCCUUCAGAAUUGGAAGACUUGAGUUUAAAACUCAGCCCUCUCACUUACUCACUAGCUGUGUGACCUUGGACAAGUCACUAAACCUCUCUGAGACUCUAUUUCUUCAAACCUCUGAAGGCUAUAAUGACAGUAAAAUGAAAUAAUGUGCAUAAAGCGCUAAGUACACAGUAGGUCCUCAAUAAAUGCACCCAUACAAUGUGGCUCAGCGCAUCUACAUCUACUUAAUUACAGGCACAUGAAGAAGACAUAUGGGGACAGAGAGGAAGGCCAGCCUGUUUCCCCAGAAUUCACUCAUUGUGGGUGCUCCCUCGACGUGUAGCUUCUGUUGGUCUUAGCAGGAAGCAGGAGGGUACGGCAGAAAGGAGCAAGGGCUUUGGGGUCAGAGAAACCUGGGUUUAAGUUCUGUCUCUGCUCUGUGACCUUAGGCAAGUUGCCUAACCUCUCGGAGCCUUGUUCCCUCGUUAGUAAAAUGGGGAAGGCAAUGGUACCUCGUAAGGAGAUAUGGGACGAAAGCACGAUGCAGCAGACACUGGACUUAGCAAGCACGCUUAUGCUCCCAGGCCUAGCCAGGCUCUUCCUCAAAGGUUGGUCCUUAAGACCCUGCCACGUUCCUGCCUCCCUGAGCUCAGCCACGCCUGUGACUUCAACUCCUCGGCCUCCCUGAUGACCGCAAAGAUCCGUGUCCAGGCCCGACCUCUCUCCAGAGUCCAGACCUCCUGGGCGCCUCCACCAGGAUGUCCUCCAGGCACUCCGAACCCAGCGCCAGGUCCUGGAUCGUCCACUGCUCCCUGUGUGAUUUGGGUCUGUCGCCUUGGUUUCUUCGCCUAUAACAUGAGCAGCUGGUAGUGGCCCUAACAUCCUAGGAUUCUCACCUCCAACAUGUCAUCUCCCCAGACUCAUCACCCCCAAAAGCAGCAGCACCGUUCUCCAGCGAAGCCCAGCCUGGAAACUCCGAGUCAGCGUGGGUUCGUCCACCUUGGUCAUCACAGCCCCCACGUCUGGGAGGGUCUGCCUCGAUAUGCUGCCCUAUCUCUACACCCCUCCUGUGGCCCCACCGUCGUCCUAGGCCAGACCCUCAGCACUACACCUCCGGGCCCCGCACCGGCUUCCCCACUCCGUCCACCCUCUGCUCCUCCCACCCAUGAACCGAUGGUCAGUGAAGGCCUGGGCAGCUUCCCUCUCAAACAGUCUUAGCGUGGAGGCUGGGCCUUCUCAUGUCACCAUCAAGACCUGGACUUCGCUGUUGACAGUGUCAGUGCCCUGGAGAUUCUUUCUAAGGUUGGGGAUGAGGAGAGAAACCUCUCGCGGGGUCCAUACUAGACGCUCAAUAAAUAUUUGUUAAAUUCAUUCAUUCAUUCAUUCAUGCUUUUCGAAACACACCCUCUGGAUGGUCAUCUCCAAUCCAAGACAGACAACGCCAGAGGUUGCUUUGCAAAUCUCGUGAAAACUAUGGGCCUUUGUUUACCUAUGUGAAUUUUGCGUAUCAUUUCAGCGGGUUCAUAGCCCCCCAAGCCCAUCUACAGAGCAAAGGUUGCCCCUGAUUGAGCUCGUUUUAUGGAUGGGGAGACUGAGACGCAAAGAGACAAAGGGACGUGUCAGAGAACAUGCAGAGCUAGUCGUCGGCCAGGCACCAGAUCAUCUUAUGAAAGAGCUGGAUCCACUCCCGGCUCCAGGUCCAGGCUUUGAGUAGUAAGUCACGUAACACCUCACGUCUUUGUGCUGUCUCCCCAUCCACGCACGAGGGACCAGGCCCGCACUGUGAGGCUGCAGAGAGAAGAUGCUGUGUACAGAGGAGCCUGGCCCAGACCCGUGUGUGGAAGACAAUUCCUGUCCCAUUCUCCUGCUUGCCUUUUCUCUUCCUUUCCUUGCAGGAUUUUGGAGCACAGAAACGUCACUGCCGUCUAAAGAGGUCAUGGAAGUCUUCGCGGAAGAGAAAAGCCCCGCCUGAGCUUCAGCUUUGGGUGCUGGAGGAGGGCAGGGGCCAAGGGUUAUUAAUAGGCCUGGCUUGAUGGGCCCAGGGCGGGCGAAUGUGAUACAGACACCCAGCACCAUCGUUGGGGAGUACCUGACACCGGAAGGGGAGGGGGCUGCGGGCCGGGGGGAGCGCCACCUCCCAAAAUAGCCAGAGCAGAAGCCUAUAUAGGUGGCCGUCCCACCACCAGGCUCACUUCCCAACAGGACCUCCCACCAACCCAGCCUUCCGGUGCAGUUCCAGCCCUCCACCCCCACCCGAGGUGAGUGGCAGCUAUGGAGGCUGGAGGAGGAUGCAGGGAGGCAGUGGGGAGGAAGCCAGCUGGAAGGGACAGUGAGACAAGGGCUGGGGGAGGGGAUGCCCAGAGGUAGGCAGCUGUGGAGUCCAGGCCUGAGAGCACGGGAUUCUUGUGCUGUCCAUCCUGUCUCCCAAGGUGACCUGAGGCAAAUCCCUCCCGCUGGCUGGGCCUCAGCUUCCCACCUGUAGAACAAGAGGGAUGGAGCCUGACAUCUGUGGACUCCGGUGAUGCCAUCAGAGGGGGCCCACGAGCUGAGUGGGCAGAGGAGGCAGGAGGAAGGAGUGUGCAGGGCUGACGGUUGAGCUGACAAUAUUGUCUGACACUUGGUGGAUGGACUGGGGCCUGAAAGCGUCCAGUUGAUGGAAGGCAGCAGGGAGAGAUGGACGAAGGAGGGAGAAGGACGCGCCUCUGUGGAGGCUCCAGCCGUUGCCACAGGGGCCCCUGUCUGGGACUCUCCAGGAGCUCGUCUGUGGCUCAGACACGUGGGACUUGAUGGGGCUGCGCCCUGAGCCCUGGGGAGGAGCUCCGGGGAGCGGGUCCCUGAACUCCAAGUCAGUCGACCUGGGAGUGGGCCCCUCUCUGCCAGUGCCUCGCUGUGCAUCCUCAAGCCAUUCACUGACUCUCUCUGGCCUCAGUCUCCCCACCAGCGUAGAAUAAGGAUCCUUCACCCGGGGAAACAGAUCCUCAGCUAGGCGCCUUGACUGAGCCGAGCCCAGGGGCUGAAAUGAUAGCACAGAAGCCCAGCAUGUUGGAGUUAACAGCCCAGCUGGGGUCGGGGCAGCAGGGGCAGCCGAGGUGUCUGGGGAAGGUCUCGUGCCGGGAGGCCAGGUCUGCAGCCUUGGCGCCUUGGAAGCCGCUGGUGGGCUGGUGCCUGAAGAAGCUGACUCACAGGGAGGGGGACAGCCUGAGCCAGCGGUGUCCUAGGGUUUCCAGGAGGGCAGCCGUCCAGGGCCGAGCCGAGGCAGACAGUGUGGACAGCCAAGGCCGGGCAACCGGAGCUAACGGACAGCUGGGCAGCUCUCUCCAGCCCGCCAAAGGCCACCAGUGUCAGCCCCUGACCGCCUGCCCACAUCUUGAGUUGAGGUCUCAAGGUUCCACCACAAGGGACCACAACACCAUCAACACAACGGAGGGAGGCAGAAGCCCAGAAACGGGGAAGGUCACCACCCAAGGUCACACAAGGAUUUAGUGCAGCCCCAAAUCUAGAACCCCAGCCUCCUGACUCCCUGUCCAGUGCUCCACACACUCUAGAGGCAGCCGGUUGCAGCCUGAGUCCUUGGGAGACCGUGGGAAAGAAUGCAAUUGGUCUCUGGCUGCACAAAGAUUAGGAAGUGUCAUGUUUCCCAGAGACGCAAUUCAGGCCAUGAAAUCUGCUUCCGUUGUCUAAAAAGUGAAUGUGCCACCUUCUCCCCAGACAUGGGCCGUCUGCUCUCCAAGUGGGGUGAGGCUGCAUGGAGAUUCCAAGUAGUCUUUCCCACCUCCCCCUCCCUCAAAGCUUUGUGGGGCAGGAGGCGUCUGGACCAGGCGCAAUCCUCUGGGGCCCAGGAGACCAGGAAAGUAGUUAGGGGGGAUCUGAGAAGAGAUCUUCGAAAAGUCAGACUAGCAAUAGGAAAAAAAAAUUAAAAAAAUCAGGAUUCAGAACGUGCAUCCUGGCCAGAUGUGGGAUGGGGCACCUGCAGGGGGCCCCAGCAGCGCCGGCCUAUCCGUGCCACCCUCUCCCAGCGUCCCGUGGGUCGGGUUUCCAGACCUCAGAGCUCAGAUUUUGCAGCAUAAAUUUGCAUCCAGGACAGACAAGAGCCGAGGCUGAGGUAGGAGCAGAGAGAGAAUGGGAACAGGGCCGAGGGGCCCACGAGGGUGCAGGCCUGGCCCCGGCCGGUCAGUAUCCUCCCAGAAGCGGCGCGACAUCCUCCGAGGUGCGUCGACCCGGGACUGCGCUGCACCAAGCCGGUGCCUCCUGCGCGCCCUUGACGGCAGGCGAACCCUCCAGACCCGGCUGGUGACGCUGGCGCCCCGUAAAUUCCAGAGGCCGCCCCUUGCUCUGGCUCCCCAGCCGCAGCCCCUGGGGUCCCGAGGACCCUCGGCGGGGGCGGGGAAGGAUCGGCCGCGGGACGCCAGCCCGCCCGGCCCGCGCAGCCCAGUGGCUCGGCGGGACUGAGCAGCUCUGGCUGCGCGCCGAGCCCCGCGCCCCCUGGCUCUGCGCCAGGCCGGCGGGCGUGCGCCCGGCGCGCAGCACUGCAGCGCUGGUCAUAUGAGCAGAAAUGAUGAGAAAAGCACUUUUUAAUCUUUUCACACUUGCUCUGCCCGCUCAAACAGUUGCAGGAUGUCGAUGACAGACUUGCUCCACGCUGAGGACAUCAAGAAGGCAGUGGGGGCCUUUACCGGUGAGCAGCGCGCUCCCCUCCCCAGCUCCCUUCCCUCAUCCACCACCUUGGCCCCCGCACCCCCGCGGGCUGCGCGGACGUGCGGUCCUCCCCAGCGCUCCUCUGCCCACGUAUCCCGCGGGGCGCUGGCCGGGCUGGGAGGGGGGUCCUCAGCAUUUUCCAACUCGGACCGGGCGGGACGUGGCCCAGGGAGGAGGCAGGGAGGCCCGGUGCCCUACCAGAAGACCGAAACUUGCAGGCGCCGAAGGCUGGGUGCCCACGCUGCGAGGACUGGGGUCCCCGACCAAGGGCGAAGACCAGGGUGGAAAGCAGGGUCUCCGGGUCCCUGUGAGCGCUCGGGACUUCCCCUUUAAGGCCCUUGGAGGGGGCUGCAGCUGCAGAAUCCUUCGACCACAAAAAGUUCUUCCAAAUGGUGGGCCUGAAGAAAAAGAGCCCGGAUGAUGUGAAGAAGGUGUUCCACAUCCUGGAUAAAGACAAGAGCGGCUUCAUCGAGGAGGAAGAGCUGGGAUUCAUCCUGAAGGGCUUCCUCCCGGAUGCCCGAGACCUGACUACUAAGGAAACCAAGACGCUGCUGGCUGCUGGAGACAAGGAUGGGGACGGCAAGAUUGGGGCCGACGAAUUCUCCGUCCUGGUGGCUGAAAGCUAAGAGGCUCUGACGGCCCCGGGUCCUCCACCUCUCCGCCCCGGACCCCUGAUCUCAGCCCCUCUUGCCACCCUCCUGCGUUUCUGUUGAGUUUGUUUAUGUUAUUUUUUACUCCCCCCUGUGCCCUGCGGCCCUCGAGUGACACCGUUCUUCUGGAAAAUGCUGGAGAAACAAUAAAGGCUGUACCAAUCGGACUCUGCUGCUCGGGAGGACUCAGGCCUGGCGGGGUGUGGGUCCCGCCGUGACUUUGCAGACACACCUGUGCAGGGGUGGGGCCGGGAUUUAGACGGUUAGAAGAGAUGGGAUGGAAGAGAAAGGUACUAAGCCUCUCUUCUGUGUUUGGUACUGAACGUGGUACUCUACGUGGGCUGCCCAUUAAUCCUUGAAACCACCCCAUAAGGUAGGCAAUGAAACUCCCAUUUUACAGAUGCAGAAACUAAGUCUUGGAGAGAAAAGUGAUGUGUCUGAGCUGACAUGGCUAGGACUUG
Long non-coding RNA from Equus caballus (horse), 6377 nucleotides. Lineage: Eukaryota; Metazoa; Chordata; Mammalia; Perissodactyla; Equidae. The record is from Ensembl.